This 460-nucleotide ribosomal RNA is filed under the name uncultured bacterium. RNAcentral's name for it is "partial 16S ribosomal RNA". It matches the Rfam family "Bacterial small subunit ribosomal RNA", at positions 338 to 795 of the family's 1533-position model. The record is from RNAcentral.
CCUACGGGAGGCAGCAGUGAGGAAUAUUGGUCAAUGGGCGCGAGCCUGAACCAGCCAAGCAGCGUGAAGGAUGACUGUCCUACGGGUUGUAAACUUCUUUUAUAAAGGAAUAAAGUGAGGCACGUGUGCCUUUUUGUAUGUACUUUAUGAACAAGGAUCGGCUAACUCCGUGCCAGCAGCCGCGGUAAUACGGAGGCUCCGAGCGUUAUCCGGAUUUAUUGGGUUUAAAGGGAGCGUAGAUGGUUUGUUAAGUCAGUUGUGAAAGUUUGGGGCUCAACCGUAAAAUUGCAAUUGAUACUGGCAGCCUUGAGUACAGGAGAGGUAGGCGGAAUUCGUGGUGUAGCGGUGAAAUGCUUAGAUAUCGCGAAGAACUCCGAUUGCGAAGGCAGCUUACUAGACUGCCACUGACGUUGAGGCACGAAAGUGUGGGUAUCGAACAGGAUUAGAUACCCGGGUAGUC